CUUGCACAAACCUCAACCAACUGCUCCAAUGUGGCACUCCCAAACAAAACACUCCGAAGCCACGGCUGCACCAGAGACUCUUCAACAAGAACCCUAUCUCUCAACACCGUUAACACAAACACCACAGUUUCAUCAUCAUCGCUUCCUAACCCUCUCAGAACGCCGGAAUACAUCUCUCUCUGCUGCAAAACCCACCGCAACAGCCACGGCUUCCCGACCUCCAAAAACGACAUCGCAAAUCUGACAAACGGCUUCCUCAACAACCCAACCCUCGCCU
RNAcentral lists this unclassified non-coding RNA (277 nucleotides) under uncultured bacterium. Its description in RNAcentral is "contains 16S-23S intergenic spacer region". The record is from RNAcentral.